RNAcentral lists this small RNA (278 nucleotides) under Arabidopsis thaliana (thale cress). RNAcentral's name for it is "ATSL176940". Lineage: Eukaryota; Viridiplantae; Streptophyta; Magnoliopsida; Brassicales; Brassicaceae. The record is from RNAcentral.
CCUCCUUUUAUUUAUUUUUUCUACCCACUCAAAACACAACAUGUGUACUCUUCUUAGUUUUAAGAAAAUAUCUUAAUUAAGAUGUUUAUCUUAGCUAAGAUUUGUUGAUCUCAUUAAAUUUAAUCACUUUUAUACUUAAGAAUUAGCUAAGAAUUGUCUAAGAACCAAGGUUGGAGUUGCUCUAAAGUCACAACGUAUUUCUGACUUCCACGUCUUCUAUCUAUUUACAAUUUACAAAAUCAAUCAAGCUUUUCAAAUGCGGUUUAAAAUUGAUUAAA